RNAcentral lists this transfer RNA (76 nucleotides) under Candidatus Latescibacterota bacterium. RNAcentral describes it as "Candidatus Latescibacteria bacterium tRNA-His". It matches the Rfam family "tRNA". From Rfam's summary of the family: Transfer RNA (tRNA) molecules are approximately 80 nucleotides in length. Lineage: Bacteria; Pseudomonadati; Candidatus Latescibacterota. The record is from RNAcentral.
GUGGACGUAGCUCAACCGGUAGAGCCCUUGGUUGUGGUCCAAGUGGUUGCGGGUUCAAGUCCCGUCGUCCACCCCA